Molecule: ribosomal RNA, 1118 nt
Filed under: Pseudomonas aeruginosa
Lineage: Bacteria; Pseudomonadati; Pseudomonadota; Gammaproteobacteria; Pseudomonadales; Pseudomonadaceae
Description: partial 23S ribosomal RNA
Rfam family: Bacterial large subunit ribosomal RNA
Source: RNAcentral
GGGGCUCAAACCACACACCGAAGCUGCGGGUGUCACGUAAGUGACGCGGUAGAGGAGCGUUCUGUAAGCCUGUGAAGGUGAGUUGAGAAGCUUGCUGGAGGUAUCAGAAGUGCGAAUGCUGACAUGAGUAACGACAAUGGGUGUGAAAAACACCCACGCCGAAAGACCAAGGGUUCCUGCGCAACGUUAAUCGACGCAGGGUUAGUCGGUUCCUAAGGCGAGGCUGAAAAGCGUAGUCGAUGGGAAACAGGUUAAUAUUCCUGUACUUCUGGUUACUGCGAUGGAGGGACGGAGAAGGCUAGGCCAGCUUGGCGUUGGUUGUCCAAGUUUAAGGUGGUAGGCUGAAAUCUUAGGUAAAUCCGGGGUUUCAAGGCCGAGAGCUGAUGACGAGUCGUCUUUUAGAUGACGAAGUGGUUGAUGCCAUGCUUCCAAGAAAAGCUUCUAAGCUUCAGGUAACCAGGAACCGUACCCCAAACCGACACAGGUGGUCGGGUAGAGAAUACCAAGGCGCUUGAGAGAACUCGGGUGAAGGAACUAGGCAAAAUGGCACCGUAACUUCGGGAGAAGGUGCGCCGGCUAGGGUGAAGGAUUUACUCCGUAAGCUCUGGCUGGUCGAAGAUACCAGGCCGCUGCGACUGUUUAUUAAAAACACAGCACUCUGCAAACACGAAAGUGGACGUAUAGGGUGUGACGCCUGCCCGGUGCCGGAAGGUUAAUUGAUGGGGUUAGCGCAAGCGAAGCUCUUGAUCGAAGCCCCGGUAAACGGCGGCCGUAACUAUAACGGUCCUAAGGUAGCGAAAUUCCUUGUCGGGUAAGUUCCGACCUGCACGAAUGGCGUAACGAUGGCGGCGCUGUCUCCACCCGAGACUCAGUGAAAUUGAAAUCGCUGUGAAGAUGCAGUGUAUCCGCGGCUAGACGGAAAGACCCCGUGAACCUUUACUGUAGCUUUGCACUGGACUUUGAGCCUGCUUGUGUAGGAUAGGUGGGAGGCUUUGAAGCGUGGACGCCAGUUCGCGUGGAGCCAUCCUUGAAAUACCACCCUGGCAUGCUUGAGGUUCUAACUCUGGUCCGUGAUCCGGAUCGAGGACAGUGUAUGGUGGGCAGUUUGACUGGGGCGG